UGGGAUUGCACCAAGGCAUCAAAAAACUUUGUAUUGGAGAAAGGGUGAGUGCCAAGCAUUUCUGUUUUAUUUAUAUAUAUAUAUAUAUAUAUAUAUAUAUAUAUAUAUAUAUAUAUUUUAUUUUUUUGGGGACAUAUAAAAAAAGACAACUCUGUUCUGCUGUAGCUGUUGAAAGUAGCUGUUGACAUUAUAGUUGCGCAGGCACUUUGUUGACGCUAGAGAACCUCGGGCCAAUCGCAACUUUCAAUGCCAGUUUCUCCGCCUACCAUGGUGACCACGGGUAACGGGGAAUCAGGGUUCCAUUCCGUACAGGGACCCUGAGAAACGACUACCGCAUGCAAGGAAGGCAGCAUGCAUGCAAAUGACCCACUCCCGACGCGGGAAGGUAGUGACG
Molecule: non-coding RNA, 394 nt
Organism: Pelobates cultripes (western spadefoot toad)
Lineage: Eukaryota; Metazoa; Chordata; Amphibia; Anura; Pelobatidae
Source: the annotation of a GenBank genome assembly